This 465-nucleotide ribosomal RNA is filed under the name Vreelandella stevensii. RNAcentral describes it as "partial 16S ribosomal RNA". It matches the Rfam family "Bacterial small subunit ribosomal RNA", at positions 338 to 795 of the family's 1533-position model. Lineage: Bacteria; Pseudomonadati; Pseudomonadota; Gammaproteobacteria; Oceanospirillales; Halomonadaceae. The record is from RNAcentral.
CCUACCUGUGGCUGCAGUGGGGAAUAUUGGACAAUGGGCGAAAGCCUGAUCCAGCCAUGCCGCGUGUGUGAAGAAGGCCUUCGGGUUGUAAAGCACUUUCAGUGGGGAAGAAAGCCUUGGGGCUAAUACCCUCGAGGAAGGACAUCACCCACAGAAGAAGCACCGGCUAACUCCGUGCCAGCAGCCGCGGUAAUACGGAGGGUGCGAGCGUUAAUCGGAAUUACUGGGCGUAAAGCGCGCGUAGGCGGUCUGAUAAGCCGGUUGUGAAAGCCCCGGGCUCAACCUGGGAACGGCAUCCGGAACUGUCAGGCUAGAGUGCAGGAGAGGAAGGUAGAAUUCCCGGUGUAGCGGUGAAAUGCGUAGAGAUCGGGAGGAAUACCAGUGGCGAAGGCGGCCUUCUGGACUGACACUGACGCUGAGGUGCGAAAGCGUGGGUAGCAAACAGGAUUAGAUACCCGUGUAGUC